AGAUGGAGUACAACAUCGAACAAGUGGGAGACCUGGCCUUUGCCUGCAGAGACAUGGAAGGGACCCCUGCUGCCAGACCCCAGGAGGAGCCAGACGGACCACGAGAUGGGUGCUUCUUUGUCCCGAGAGGUCACACAGGCACGUCCUGUGUCAAAUGUCCCCCUGCCCCUCUGUGGCCACCAGAGGUCGGUCACUGCACUUUAGUCUUUCGGUUAAAGGCACAACAUUCCGGCCAGUCUGCCCUGGGCUCUGCUCCCCUCGACCAUGGAGCAGAAAACAGAAGCCUGAAGUUGCCUCCAAGCUCUGCUAUCUUUAAGGAAAGACAAGGCUGAAUGGAACAUCAGAAAAAUGUUGCAGGGGAGGAGGAACUGGAUUUUCUGAAAGCAAGUUCCUGUUCAAAGUUUCCAGCCACUUCUAUUUCUAGCAGCGGAGACAGUGAGUGUCCCUGAGAAAAACCGCCUGAGUGGUCCCUUUCAGGGAAGGAGAUGAAGGUCAAGUCAGCAACCGAUCCUCUGGGAGAGAGUGAGCCAGGACUGUUGGCCUCGGCAGACUGUCAUCGCCUCGCCCCCUACAUGGCCCGAUUGCUAAGGAGGGGUGGACAAAUUGCGUCAGGGCCAAGAAGCCUUGCGGAAGGACGGGAUCUGGACUCCUUCACAGAUUCAAAGCUAUUGCAGCGUCUCUGAAGCACUCGUGGUGCUGGCCGCCUGACUCCUUCAGGGGGAGGCUGGAUGCGAUCACAGACUGUGCAGAGACAUGCGAUCACAGACUGCAAUCGAGACAUGCGUGAAUUUCAUUAC
RNAcentral lists this long non-coding RNA (797 nucleotides) under Equus caballus (horse). RNAcentral's name for it is "lncRNA (ENSECAG00000044223.1)". Lineage: Eukaryota; Metazoa; Chordata; Mammalia; Perissodactyla; Equidae. The record is from RNAcentral.